UGGCAAGCGUUAUCCGGAUUUAUUGGGCGUAAAGCGAGCGCAGGCGGUUUGAUAAGUCUGAUGUGAAAGCCUUUGGCUUAACCAAAGAAGUGCAUCGGAAACUGUCAGACUUGAGUGCAGAAGAGGACAGUGGAACUCCAUGUGUAGCGGUGGAAUGCGUAGAUAUAUGGAAGAACACCAGUGGCGAAGGCGGCUGUCUGGUCUGCAACUGACGCUGAGGCUCGAAAGCAUGGGUAGCG
This 239-nucleotide ribosomal RNA is filed under the name uncultured bacterium. Its description in RNAcentral is "partial 16S ribosomal RNA". It matches the Rfam family "Bacterial small subunit ribosomal RNA", at positions 532 to 770 of the family's 1533-position model. The record is from RNAcentral.